Molecule: transfer RNA, 75 nt
Filed under: bacterium
Lineage: Bacteria
Also listed under: 2 other names
Description: tRNA-Val
Rfam family: tRNA
About the family: Transfer RNA (tRNA) molecules are approximately 80 nucleotides in length.
Source: RNAcentral
GCGCGGUUAGCUCAGGGGUAGAGCGCCUGCUUCACACGCAGGAUGUCACAGGUUCAAAUCCUGUAUCGCGCACCA